AACGCGAAGAACCUUACCUACUCUUGACAUCCAGAGAACUUAGCAGAGAUGCUUUGGUGCCUUCGGGAACUCUGAGACAGGUGCUGCAUGGCUGUCGUCAGCUCGUGUUGUGAAAUGUUGGGUUAAGUCCCGCAACGAGCGCAACCCUUAUCCUUUGUUGCCAGCGGUUCGGCCGGGAACUCAAAGGAGACUGCCAGUGAUAAACUGGAGGAAGGUGGGGAUGACGUCAAGUCAUCAUGGCCCUUACGAGUAGGGCUACACACGUGCUACAAUGGCGUAUACAAAGAGAAGCGACCUCGCGAGAGCAAGCGGACCUCAUAAAGUACGUCGUAGUCCGGAUUGGAGUCUGCAACUCGACUCCAUGAAGUCGGAAUCGCUAGUAAUCGUAGAUCAGAAUGCUACGGUGAAUACGUUCCCGGGUCUUGUACACAUCG
RNAcentral lists this ribosomal RNA (434 nucleotides) under Serratia sp. RP2p. RNAcentral describes it as "bacterial SSU rRNA". It matches the Rfam family "Bacterial small subunit ribosomal RNA", at positions 958 to 1392 of the family's 1533-position model. The record is from RNAcentral. Lineage: Bacteria; Pseudomonadati; Pseudomonadota; Gammaproteobacteria; Enterobacterales; Yersiniaceae.